UACGAAGGGGGCUAGCGUUGCUCGGAAUCACUGGGCGUAAAGCGCACGUAGGCGGACUCUUAAGUCGGUGGUGAAAUCCUGGAGCUCAACUCCAGAACUGCCUUCGAUACUGGAAGACUUGAGUCCGGGAGAGGUGAGUGGAAUUGCGAGUGUAGAGGUGAAAUUCGUAGAUAUUCGCAAGAACACCAGUGGCGAAGGCGGCUCACUGGCCCGAUACUGACGCUGAGGUGCGAAAGCGUGGGGAGCAAACAGG
RNAcentral lists this ribosomal RNA (253 nucleotides) under uncultured bacterium. RNAcentral's name for it is "partial 16S ribosomal RNA". It matches the Rfam family "Bacterial small subunit ribosomal RNA", at positions 524 to 776 of the family's 1533-position model. The record is from RNAcentral.